This 2988-nucleotide long non-coding RNA is filed under the name Homo sapiens (human). RNAcentral's name for it is "long independently transcribed non-coding RNA 1488, transcript variant 3 (LINC01488)". Lineage: Eukaryota; Metazoa; Chordata; Mammalia; Primates; Hominidae. The record is from RNAcentral.
CUGCAGAGGUGCCUUUUGUCUGGCAAGGGGAGCACAGGUGGGGGAUGGGGCUGGCCCCAGCCAGGACAUUGUCUGUGUCACUCAGCAGCAGACUGACUGGCGCCUGCUGCCUGGCCAGCAAUGCUGACCCCUCUGCCUGCCCUAGCCAAUAUUUGAGGUCAGGAGGCAAGUACAGCAUCUGUGGGCAGACGACAGGGCCAAUGGGGUUCUCCUCCAGGCCUUCUGCUGCCACUCUGCUUCCUGAAGCCAGGAGGCCCAGUUCAGGUGCUCCGCCAGGGCUCCCGUGGUCCUGCCUGCAGGGGCGAGGUAGCAGGACCCCCUUGUUUAGCCUCUGCUGCAUCCUUAGCUGCAGCAGGGAGCCUGCCAGGCAGGUGUGCGGUCCCUACACGGGUCAAGAUGGGAGCCGCCUUAGAGAUCUCUAUUCUGCAGAGGAGGAAACUGAGGCACAGACAUGGAUGGAGGGAAUUUGGCCAAGGCCCUUUGGCCUUCUGGGCCAGGACUCCAGCCCCAGCCCAGUGGCAGGAAGAGGGUCUCAUGCCACCCCUCAACCCUGAUAAUCCUGCAUGCACGGCACAGGCCUCGAACCUCCUCUCCCCUGGCCUGGUCCCACCCUAGUGGGCCCGGCAGUGGGGCCUUCCAUCCUGCCUCUGUCACUGCCACAAAAGAACAUCAUGAUGCAUCCCAGGCCUCUGUCCUUCAGGCCAUGGGGGGCUUCCCUGAGCACAGCCACUCACCACAUGCCUGAGUCUGGAUCUCAUGCGAGAACUGGCCUGGACCCCUGGACCAGGAUACAAACUCAUCUGGAAGCAUUAAAACAAUGGAAGCAGGUGAGAGCAGAGAGAUCCCGAGCGCAGGUGAGGUGGGGUCCCUGAGGCGGGCUCAAAAGCUGCUUCCCAAGGCAGGGGGGCCCCUAUGUGCCCUCUGAGAGCACAGCCUGCAGACAGAGUCCAGACGUCUCAGGCAGGCCUUUGAGGCCUUCGUGUCAAAGCCCAGUUCUACCACAUCCUAGGGUUAUACUUUCGGCCUGGUGGGAGUCGCUGGUCCCCAGUUGACAGUGUCAUUGGGAAAGUCCAGUGGUAGACCCCGGCACAGCAGGCGCUCAGCAGUGCAGCAGUAUCAUUGCUUAGCCCCACCUCCCUUUCCAGACUCUGCACCCCUCCUCAGGCUCAGAGCAAGGGCCUGCCCCUGCCCCUCCACCGCCCCCUCCUCACUUACCCCUGCGACUCUGCCCAAGCAAGACCUCCCCCUGGAAUUCAUUCAUUUAUCAACUCAUUAUGCAGCCAGCCAGCCAUCGUUUCUUUUUUAUCCACUUUUUCUGAGGGCCUGCUGUGCGCCAGCUGCUGGAGACAUGAAGACAUCGAAGACCCCAGGCCUUGACCUCCAAGAGCCCCCAGUUUGGUGGAAGAAACAAACAAGGAGACUGCAAAACACACCCUGUGAUGGGGAGGGUUGAGGUGGCCAGUGGGAGAGGCGAGCUGGCAGGGCUCAGUGGUGAGGUGAAGGUGUGGGAGCAGGGACACAGCAUGAAGGAGUAGAUGGCCAGGUUGAGCUUUGCAGGCUCCAGGGGGAGGAUAAAGAGCUGACACCUGGAACGUGCUUGGAACAGCAGGUGCUCGGUCAGUGCAGCCACGACCAUCCCGUCCUGCAUCCCCACCAUGAACUUGGACCUUCUGGAAGGACCUUGCUUAUCCCAGCAUCCACACAUCCUUGACCAGACCUGGUCAACAUUUGCUUACCUCUGCCAGCCUCCUCUCACCCAUUCCUGCAUGUGCCGCACCAAUCUGUGUGGAGCGCCCACUCCAGCCAGGCCCUGCUCUAUCAGCAAACUCAGCAGGCAGAACCCCUGCCCCAUGGCGCUGCUUCAGCGUGGUGAGACAGGAACCGCCUGGCUGCUGGGAUGAGAAGAGACUGGAGAGAGACCACGAUGGAAGCCAGGAGGCCAACGAGGAGUUGGGGUAGUCCUCCAGGGAGACAUGAUGUGGCUUCAGCCCCAGUGGUGAUGGCGGGGUAGAGCCAGCAGGGUUCUGAACUGAGUGGAUGUGAAAUGAGGGAAAGAGGGAUGCUGCGGUCGGCAGAAUCGUGCCUCCCGCAAAGAUGCCCCAUCCUAACCCGUCACCCUUGACAGUGAGACCUCCACCACAAAGGGGACUUUGCAGGCAUGAAGGUUAAGGACCCUGAGAGGAGGAGAUGGCCCUGGACUGUCUGGCGGGCCCAGCAUCAUCACAAGGGUGCUUAUAAGUGGAGGAGGAGGCAGGGGGAGCCGAGCAGAUGUGAGGAUAGAAGCAGAGGUCGGAGGGACGUGCUGUUGGCUUGAGAUGGAGGAGGACCUAUGAGCCAAGGAGCAUGGGCGGCCUCUGGAAGCCAGAAAGGGCAAGGCCUCUUCCCGGAGCCUCCAGCAGAACCCAGCCCCGCUGCCACCUCGACUGCAGAACGGUGACACCGUGUCCGAUUCCCGACCUCCAGAACCGUGAGAUAACACGUGUGCUGUUUUAAGCCACUGCAAUUGUGGUAUUUGUCACAGCAGCCAUAGGAAACUGUACGGGGGUUAAAGAGGACCUGCUGACCUCUGAGCUCACACUGAAGCCUCCUGGAAUGCUGUGGGUUGUGAGCUGGGAUGAGAACGCAGCAUGGAGAUGAAAGACGCAUCCACCCAGGAAGGCCCACUGGCAUCGCAAUCUCAGGGAAGAUUCCCAGGCUGAAAAAAGAGAAAGUGGCUGGGGUGGCACUGAAUGCCCCACGUCAAAGAAAUGGCACCCAAGCCGUCCGUCAGUCCCUCACCUGCCACACAGACAGCACCUUGGACCCAGCAAGAUGUCACUCACCACAUUGAUGCUGUCCACAGGCAUCGCCUUGCUUUUGCAGCUCUGUGUGAGAUUUGUCAGCUUGGUUUGGGUCUGGGGCUGUAUUAGAGCUGUCAGCCUAGGAGCCUACCCUAGUUUUGUGUCUGCACUAUUUCCAAAGCACUGGAAUAAAAGGCAUUUUAACCAA